GAAAUUAGAGUUAAUAAAAACAUACUCCUUUAGUUAAUAAUAUCAUAUGAUUAUUGUAAUUCAUCUCCCUCUGUUACUGAAAUUCAUCUUUUCAUAAUACCGUAUCGAAAGCAGAGACAAGGAGAGAUGCACCUCGUCCUUUCCCCACCUAGCCGGCGGUUUGGAGCCAAUCAUCGCCGGGAAAGGAGACCAAGACGACGACGACGACGAACUUGAAGCUGUGGAACUUGAUUGUGGUUUAGAGAGAGGCAACAGGUACUGGGAGUGAAGGCGACGAAACCCACCAAGAGCUAGUACAACGGAUCUCAGUUGUUGGAUACCGCAACCGAUAUUAGCCGAGUGCCUAGUACAGAUCAACUCCCAAAGCCUCUCGUCCUGCGCUGUACGGUGCCACUGCUUGCUCACACAGGCUGCCCUCCCC
RNAcentral lists this unclassified non-coding RNA (421 nucleotides) under Hevea brasiliensis (rubber tree). Lineage: Eukaryota; Viridiplantae; Streptophyta; Magnoliopsida; Malpighiales; Euphorbiaceae. The record is from RNAcentral.